Molecule: transfer RNA, 76 nt
Filed under: Gammaproteobacteria bacterium
Lineage: Bacteria; Pseudomonadati; Pseudomonadota; Gammaproteobacteria
Description: tRNA-Lys
Rfam family: tRNA
About the family: Transfer RNA (tRNA) molecules are approximately 80 nucleotides in length. Their secondary structure includes four short double-helical elements and three loops (D, anti-codon, and T loops). Further hydrogen bonds mediate the characteristic L-shaped molecular structure. tRNAs have two regions of fundamental functional importance: the anti-codon, which is responsible for specific mRNA codon recognition, and the 3' end, to which the tRNAs corresponding amino acid is attached (by aminoacyl-tRNA synthetases). tRNAs cope with the degeneracy of the genetic code in two manners: having more than one tRNA (with a specific anti-codon) for a particular amino acid; and 'wobble' base-pairing, i.e. permitting non-standard base-pairing at the 3rd anti-codon position.
Source: RNAcentral
GGGCCGUUAGCUCAGUUGGCAGAGCAUCUGACUUUUAAUCAGAGGGUCGCUGGUUCGAUUCCAGCACGGCCCACCA